GGUUGUGGUUAGAGGUUGUGGUUAGGGGUAGUGGUUGGGAGUUGUGGUUAGGGGUUGUGGUUAGUGGUUGUGGUAGUGGUUGGGAGUUGUGGUUAGAGGUUGUGGUUAGGGGUUGUGGUUAGUGGUAGUGGUU
Long non-coding RNA from Dicentrarchus labrax (European seabass), 133 nucleotides. RefSeq lists it as uncharacterized. Lineage: Eukaryota; Metazoa; Chordata; Actinopteri; Moronidae. The transcript has 2 exons. The record is from RefSeq and is a predicted model, not a curated record.